CCAUCAUCAUCAUCAUCAUUAUUUAUCGACUGGGGCACUCUCUCUCAUGAUAAGAAAUGGGGAAAUCAGCCAAAAUAGUAAUGUUGCUGGGGAUAUUUUCCUUGAGAAUCUGCUUUGCUGCAUCUGCAUUUAUUAACAUGUCUACUGUGGAUGAGUUGUCUCUCCUGUCCAUGAAAGCUAACAUAAAUUCCGACAUCCUGGCUAGGAACUGGUCCAAGGAAACCUCGUUAUGCACUUGGACCGGCGUCAUUUGUGGCAAGAAGCAUCCACGGAGAGUGACAGCUAUCAAUCUUGCAAAUAUGGGUUUGGAGGGAACCAUCGCAAAGGAAAUCGGCAACCUCUCAUCUCUGAGAUUCGUAGACAUCAGCAACAACAGUAUCAAUGGCCAAAUCCCAAGUGAAAUUGGAUUGUUGGGGAAGCUGCAGGGUUUGAACCUUUCACAUAACUACUUGAGUGGAGAUAUUCCGACAAGUUUAUCGCCGUGCGUACAACUGAAGAUGUUGGAUUUGUCUCAUAACAAUCUCACUGGAACUGUUCCAGCUGGGUUUGGCAACUGGUCACAACUUCAGGAUCUCUCUUUGAGUAGGAAUUAUUUGACAGGUACAGUUCCAACGACAAUUGGCAAUUUGUCGAAUUUGGAGGUAUUGGAUUUCAGCAGGAACAGUUUUUAUGGGACAGUUGUGUCCGCAAUGGGACAACUAUCCAGUUUGAGAAUAUUGAAUCUUCAAGCAAACAAUCUAAGUGGUGAAGUACCUCAAGCUAUCUUCAAUCUCUCCAUGUUAGAAUUCCUUUCCCUUAGAGAAAACAACCUAUUCGGAAGUCUUCCAUUUUCUAUUGACAUAGGCCUUCCAAACAUUGAGCGUAUUUUUCUUGGAAAUAUCCAACAGAGGUUUGAUCUUCUAGCUAAUCGCUUCCAUGGAGAAAUCCCGAGUUCAAUCUCAAAUCUCUCUAAACUCAUCGCACUGGAUCUUUCUGAUAACUCAUUCAAUCAUGUACCAAUGAAUCUUGGGAGUUUACAUCAACUUCAGAUGCUAAACUUGGAAGCAAAUCAGUUGACAAAUAAUUUGUCCAAUCCUGAACAGGACUUUCUCUCUUCCUUGGCAGCUUGCAAGAAUCUGAGGUUUAUACAGAUAUCAUUUAAUCCUAUAACUGGUGUUCUCCCAAAAUCCUUAGGCUCGAGCAAUCUCUCUGUGUCCCUUGAAACUUUCAAAGCUUUCUCUUGCAAAAUCUUAAGUCCGAUCCCCGAUGAGAUAGGGAACUUAAGCAGCUUGUUGUGGUUAAACCUCGGAUAUAAUCACUUCACCGGAGCCAUUCCCAUGAUGCUGGGAGGUUUAAGAAGCUUGAGGAAUUUGGAAAUCUACGGCAAUAGAUUUCAUGGCUCCAUCUCCACUGUCUUGUGCAAUCUAAAUUCUCUUUAUUCGUUAAACUUAGCAAUAAACAAUCUCUCUGGACUACUACCAAGUUGUUUAGGGAACCUCUCUUUGUUAAGAGAAAUCUAUAUGUCAAGCAAUGAAUUCAGCUUCAACAUCGCAUCAAUUUUAUGGUUUGAUAAGGGUGCUAUCAAUGUGAAGAAUCUGGUAGCAUUGGAUCUGUCGUAUAAUCAGCUCUCUGGGGAGAUCCCAAGCACCAUUUCCCAGCUUGAGAAUCUAGUUCGACUAUCAUUGUCUAGAAACAAACUGAGAGGCCGCAUAGUUGAAUCGUUUUCUCUUCUAAAGGAUUUGGAACUCUUGGAUCUGUCCCACAACAAUCUCUCUGGUCCGAUUCCUAAGUCUUUGGAAGCACUUUCACAUCUUAAUUACUUUGAUGUAUCAUUUAAUGAGCUUAGAGGUGAAAUUCCAGACAGAGGGUGUUUUGUCAAUUUCAGUGCGGAGUUUUUCGUUGGUAACAAUGGUUUGUGUGGACCAAUUCGAUUUGAAGUGAAGAAAUGUCAAUCUUUAAGCAUGAGAAAACGUUUACCAUAUUUAUCAUUUUUGAUAGUUGUUGUGAUUGGCCUUAUUCUUGUCCUGAGAUGGAAAUUUUGUGCAAGAACGACAUAUCCUUUGUCUCAUUAUUUUCCAUAUGACAUUUAUAGGAGAAUUUCAUAUCAAGAAAUCCUUCGCGCCACAGGCAACUUUGAUGAAGAAAACUUGAUUGGCAGGGGUGGCAUUGGCUCAGUAUAUCUGGGAACAUUUUCUGAUGGAAUGAAGUGUGCUAUUAAAGUAUUUGAUUUAGAUGUACAAGAUGCAUUGAAGAGCUUCCAGACUGAGUGCGAAAUAUUAGGCGGAUUACGCCACAGAAAUAUUGUCAGGAUUAUCACUUGUUGUUCCCAGCCUGAUUUUAAGGCCUUGUUGAUGACAUAUAUGCCCAACGGUGAUCUAGAGAAACAGCUCCACUUUGCCAAUUGUUCCUUAGACUUGUUCACAAGAAUGAGAAUAAUGACAGAAGUGGCGCAAGUGAUAGAGUAUUUACAUGAAUACUGUACAACGCCCAUUGUCCAUUGCGAUUUAAACCCGAAAAACAUCCUUCUUGAUGAAGACAUGGUUGCACAUGUAGGCGACUUUGGCAUUUCCAAGAUCUUGAGUCAAGAAGAAAGAAUGCUACGUUCUAGGACUUUGGGUACUAUUGGAUACAUAGCACCAGAGUAUGGAUCACAGGGAUUAAUCUCGACCACAGUGGAUGUUUAUAGCUACGGGAUUUUGCUGAUGGAAACAUUUUCAAGAAGAAAGCCAACAGAUGAGAUGUUUUCAGGAGAGUUAACCUUGAGGAGAUGGGUCUCUGAAUCAUUCCCUGAUUCAAUAUUGCAAAUUUUGGACAAUGAGCUUCUGGAUACGGAUGGUGAAGAAGCUAGAGCUGUCUUCAUAACUUGCUUGACAUCAGCUAUUGAAUUAGCAUUAGAAUGCACGGCAGCUUUGCCUGAGGAGAGGCCUAGUACGAGAUAUGUUCUAAAGAGGAUGAGAGAUGUUCAGAGCAGAAUCAGAGAGAUCGAGAUCAAGUUGAACGACCUGAAAAUGUCGUUCUUGCUUACUGAUUCUGAUCGGGAAGAGAUAAGAAAAUCUGCGAGAAGAUGGAGACAGAUAAGAUGGAAGGCAAAACAACGAGUACCCAUUCUUGCACGCAUACCCGAAUCACAAGAAGUUGUAAAUUUUGAACCAAGUGAAACAGAGUCAUCAAAUUGAACUACAAGCUAGAUUACUUUCAGAAGGAAAAUUUCCUCGUUCGCUGACUCUGAUGUAGUAGCUGAGAUACAGAAAAUGUUGGGAGAGACUUGAGAGGGUCCAAACUGGAAGAAUUAGUUUUUGGUGCUGUUCGGAAUGGAAACCUGGCUUUACAUCAAAAUGCAAAUGGAAAUAAAGAUAUAAUAAUGCUGGAUGUCCAGCGUUUUAGUACGUUUCUAUGGAGAUAAUUAGAUCUUGUUUUAAAUGUCAUGCAUAAAAUUCGGUUACCAAAUGUUACUGCCUUGUCUGUUCAAUAUUCACAGGUUCUUUCAUAUUGAGUACUAGGUUCAAGGUUGUAUCUUGAAUUAUUGUUUAUUAUUGCAAUAAAUAUUUUUUAUUGUAGUUUUGGUUGAUGGUGAGCUUCAUUAAUAUCUACAUUCGUAGUCCAGCCUUGAGUAUACUACAUAAUUUGAAAUUCUCGACCCAUCACCGAACAUCUAUGGAUGAAGUAAUGUUAAAUUUUAAUCAAGGGAGUCUUGUAUCAUAUGAGGGGUCUGUAGAAGCUCAAGGCGGAAAGGUUUGUCUGUAAAAUUUGCUCUCUUUUUUUGCCAGUUCGACAAUAAUAAGGUGCCCUUUUGCCACA
Salvia miltiorrhiza (redroot sage) is the source of this 3777-nucleotide RNA transcript. It is a transcript of the gene named receptor kinase-like protein Xa21, with no coding region annotated. The transcript has 5 exons. The record is from RefSeq and is a predicted model, not a curated record. Lineage: Eukaryota; Viridiplantae; Streptophyta; Magnoliopsida; Lamiales; Lamiaceae.